This 1345-nucleotide ribosomal RNA is filed under the name uncultured bacterium. RNAcentral describes it as "bacterial SSU rRNA". It matches the Rfam family "Bacterial small subunit ribosomal RNA", at positions 28 to 1381 of the family's 1533-position model. The record is from RNAcentral.
GAUGAACGCUAGCGGGAGGCCUAACACAUGCAAGCCGAGCGGUAUUGUUUCUUCGGAAAUGAGAGAGCGGCGUACGGGUGCGGAACACGUGUGCAACCUGCCUUUAUCUGGGGGAUAGCCUUUCGAAAGGAAGAUUAAUACUCCAUAAUAUAUUGAUUGGCAUCAAUUAAUAUUGAAAGCUCCGGCGGAUAGAGAUGGGCACGCGCAAGAUUAGCUAGUUGGUGAGGUAACGGCUCACCAAGGCGAUGAUCUUUAGGGGGCCUGAGAGGGUGAUCCCCCACACUGGUACUGAGACACGGACCAGACUCCUACGGGAGGCAGCAGUGAGGAAUAUUGGUCAAUGGGUGCAAGCCUGAACCAGCCAUCCCGCGUGAAGGACGACUGCCCUAUGGGUUGUAAACUUCUUUUGUAUAGGGAUAAACCUACCCUCGUGAGGGUAGCUGAAGGUACUAUACGAAUAAGCACCGGCUAACUCCGUGCCAGCAGCCGCGGUAAUACGGAGAGUGCAAGCGUUAUCCGGAUUUAUUGGGUUUAAAGGGUCCGUAGGCGGACUUAUAAGUCAGUGGUGAAAGCCUGUCGCUUAACGAUAGAACUGCCAUUGAUACUGUAAGUCUUGAGUAUAUUUGAGGUAGCUGGAAUAAGUAGUGUAGCGGUGAAAUGCAUAGAUAUUACUUAGAACACCAAUUGCGAAGGCAGGUUACCAAGAUAUAACUGACGCUGAGGGACGAAAGCGUGGGGGGCGAACAGGAUUAGAUACCCUGGUAGUCCACGCCGUAAACGAUGCUAACUCGUUUUUGGGCUUUAGGGUUCAGAGACCAAGCGAAAGUGAUAAGUUAGCCACCUGGGGAGUACGCUCGCAAGAGUGAAACUCAAAGGAAUUGACGGGGGCCCGCACAAGCGGUGGAUUAUGUGGUUUAAUUCGAUGAUACGCGAGGAACCUUACCAAGACUUAAAUGGGAAUUGACAGCUUUAGAAAUAGAGCUUUCUUCGGACAAUUUUCAAGGUGCUGCAUGGUUGUCGUCAGCUCGUGCCGUGAGGUGUUAGGUUAAGUCCUGCAACGAGCGCAACCCCUGUCACUAGUUGCCAUCAUUCAGUUGGGGACUCUAGUGAGACUGCCUACGCAAGUAGAGAGGAAGGUGGGGAUGACGUCAAAUCAUCGCGGCCCUUACGUCUUGGGCCACACACGUAAUACAAUGGCCGGUACAGAGGGCAGCUACACAGCGAUGUGAUGCAAAUCUCGAAAGCCGGUCUCAGUUCGGAUUGGAGUCUGCAACUCGACUCUAUGAAGCUGGAAUCGCUAGUAAUCGCGCAUCAGCCAUGGCGCGGUGAAUACGUUCCCGGGCCU